GCGCACAAGUCACAAGUAGACAUUUGAAUUGAGUUCCGGCACUCGAAGCGAAAUAUUCGCCGCGUUGCUGGACGGAAGAGUCCCGACGUGCGGA
This 94-nucleotide ribosomal RNA is filed under the name Thalassiosira oceanica. RNAcentral describes it as "partial Eukaryotic small subunit ribosomal RNA". The record is from RNAcentral. Lineage: Eukaryota; Bacillariophyta; Thalassiosirophyceae; Thalassiosirales; Thalassiosiraceae.